Unclassified non-coding RNA from Myotis lucifugus (little brown bat), 340 nucleotides. Its record names the gene 7SK. It matches the Rfam family "7SK RNA". Rfam says of the family: 7SK was discovered as an abundant small nuclear RNA in the mid-70s but a possible function has only recently been suggested. NCBI's taxonomy places the organism in Eukaryota, Metazoa, Chordata, Mammalia, Chiroptera, Vespertilionidae. The record is from Ensembl.
GGAUGUGAGGGCGAUCUGGCUGCGACAUCUGUCACCCCAUUGAUCGCCAGGGUUGAUUCGGCUGAUCUGGCUGGCUAGGCGGGUGUCCCCCUCCUCCCUCACCGAUCCAUGUGCGUCCCUCCCGAAGCUGCGCGCUCGGUCGAAGAGGACGACCUUCCCCCCGAGGAGAGGACCGGUCUUCGGUCAAGGGUAUACGAGUAGCUGCGCUCCCCUGCUAGAACCUCCAAACAAGCUCUCAAAUUAUAUUAAAAAUAAACUAAAAAUAAUUUGAUGAACAAGAAUAGAUCCAGAGACAAACGGUAAGGGAGGAGGGGUUAGAGAGCAACCAAAGGACUUGUAU